GCCUAACACCUGCAAGUCCAGCGAAGCAUAUAACAUGAAGUUUUCGGACGGAAUGUUAUCUGACUGAGCGGCGGACGGGUGAGUAACGCGUGGGUAACCUGCCUUAUACAGGGGGAUAACAGUUAGAAAUGACUGCUAAUACCGCAUAAGCGCACCGUACCGCAUGGUAGUGUGUGAAAAACUCCGGGUGGUAUAAGAUGGACCCCCCGUCUGAUUAGCCCGUUUGGCGGGGUAUCGGCCCACCAAAGCGACGAUCAGUAGCCGACUUGAGAGGGUGACCGGCCACUUUGGGAUUGAGACACGGCCCAAACUCCUACGGGAGGCAGCAGUGGGGAAUAUUGCACAAUGGGGGAAACCCUG
Molecule: ribosomal RNA, 360 nt
Filed under: uncultured bacterium
Lineage: Bacteria
Description: bacterial SSU rRNA
Rfam family: Bacterial small subunit ribosomal RNA
Source: RNAcentral